This 668-nucleotide ribosomal RNA is filed under the name Eisenia fetida (common brandling worm). RNAcentral describes it as "SSU rRNA". It matches the Rfam family "Eukaryotic small subunit ribosomal RNA", at positions 454 to 1126 of the family's 1831-position model. Lineage: Eukaryota; Metazoa; Annelida; Clitellata; Crassiclitellata; Lumbricidae. The record is from RNAcentral.
ACGCGGGGAGGUAGUGACGAAAAAUAACAAUACGGGACUCUUUUGAGGCCCCGUAAUUGGAAUGAGUACACUUUAAAUCCUUUAACGAGGAUCAAUUGGAGGGCAAGUCUGGUGCCAGCAGCCGCGGUAAUUCCAGCUCCAAUAGCGUAUACUAAAGUUGUUGCAGUUAAAAAGCUCGUAGUUGGAUCUCGGGUCGUGCCGAGCGGUUCGCUUCGCGGCGGUACUUCUCGGCGCGGCCUAGCCGCCGGUCUUCGCUUGGUGCUCUUCGUUGAGUGCCUCGCGCGGCCGACAGAUUUACUUUGAAAAAAUUAGAGUGCUCAAAGCAGGCGCUUCGCUUGUAUAGUCGUGCAUGGAAUAAUGGAAUAGGACCUCGGUUCUAUUUUGUUGGUUUUCGGAACUUGAGGUAAUGAUUAAGAGGGACAGACGGGGGCAUUCGUAUUACGGUGUCAGAGGUGAAAUUCUUGGAUCGCCGUAAGACGAACUACUGCGAAAGCAUUUGCCAAGAAUGUUUUCAUUAAUCAAGAACGAAAGUCAGAGGUUCGAAGACGAUCAGAUACCGUCGUAGUUCUGACCAUAAACGAUGUCGACUGGCGAUCCGCGGACGUCGCUUCUAUGACCCCGCGGGCAGCCUUCGGGAAACCAAAGUCUAUGGAUUCCGGGGGAAGCAU